GACGAACGCUGGCGGCGUGCUUAACACAUGCAAGUCGAACGGAAAGGCCCUGCUUUUGUGGGGUGCUCGAGUGGCGAACGGGUGAGUAACACGUGAGUAACCUGCCCUUGACUUUGGGAUAACUUCAGGAAACUGGGGCUAAUACCGGAUAGGAGCUCCUGCUGCAUGGUGGGGGUUGGAAAGUUUCGGCGGUUGGGGAUGGACUCGCGGCUUAUCAGCUUGUUGGUGGGGUAGUGGCUUACCAAGGCUUUGGCGGGUAGCCGGCCUGAGAGGGUGACCGGCCACAUUGGGACUGAGAUACGGCCCAGACUCCUACGGGAGGCAGCAGUGGGGAAUAUUGCACAAUGGGCGGAAGCCUGAUGCAGCAACGCCGCGUGCGGGAUGACGGCCUUCGGGUUGUAAACCGCUUUCGCCUGUGACGAAGCGUGAGUGACGGUAAUGGGGAAAGAAGCACCGGCGAACUACGU
Molecule: ribosomal RNA, 467 nt
Filed under: uncultured bacterium
Lineage: Bacteria
Description: partial 16S ribosomal RNA
Rfam family: Bacterial small subunit ribosomal RNA
Source: RNAcentral